This 254-nucleotide ribosomal RNA is filed under the name uncultured bacterium. RNAcentral describes it as "partial 16S ribosomal RNA". It matches the Rfam family "Bacterial small subunit ribosomal RNA", at positions 524 to 776 of the family's 1533-position model. The record is from RNAcentral.
UACGAAGGGGGCUAGCGUUGUUCGGAAUCACUGGGCGUAAAGCGCACGUAGGCGGAUCUUUAAGUCAGGGGUGAAAUCCCGAGGCUCAACCUCGGAACUGCCUUUGAUACUGGGGAUCUCGAGUCCGGGAGAGGUGAGUGGAACUGCGAGUGUAGAGGUGAAAUUCGUAGAUAUUCGGAAGAACACCAGUGGCGAAGGCGGCUCACUGGUCCGGUACUGGACGCUGAUGUGCGAAAGCUAGGGGAGCGAACAGG